Molecule: small nuclear RNA, 161 nt
Organism: Cornus florida
Lineage: Eukaryota; Viridiplantae; Streptophyta; Magnoliopsida; Cornales; Cornaceae
Product: U1 spliceosomal RNA
Exons: 1
Source: RefSeq, a predicted model, not a curated record
AUACUUACCUAGACGGGGUCAAUGGGUGAUCAAGAAGGCCCAUGGCCUAGGUUGGUGACCUCUAUUGCACUAAAGAGUGGUGCUUGUCUAAGGUCUAUCCAAGUGGUGGAGCCUACGUCAUAAUUUGUUGCAGUGGGGACCUGCGUUCGCGCGGCCCGUAC